RNAcentral lists this ribosomal RNA (450 nucleotides) under uncultured bacterium. RNAcentral describes it as "partial 16S ribosomal RNA". It matches the Rfam family "Bacterial small subunit ribosomal RNA", at positions 354 to 796 of the family's 1533-position model. The record is from RNAcentral.
GUGGGGAAUAUUGGACAAUGGGCGAAAGCCUGAUCCAGCCAUGCCGCGUGUGUGAAGAAGGUCUUCGGAUUGUAAAGCACUUUAAGUUGGGAGGAAGGGCAGUAAGUUAAUACCUUGCUGUUUUGACGUUACCGACAGAAUAAGCACCGGCUAACUUCGUGCCAGCAGCCGCGGUAAUACGAAGGGUGCAAGCGUUAAUCGGAAUUACUUGGCGUAAAGCGCGCGUAGGUGGUUUUGUAAGUUGGAGGUGAAAACCCCGGGCUCAACCUGGGAACUGCCUCCAAAACUGCAUGACUAGAGUACGGUAGAGGGUAGUGGAAUUUCCUGUGUAGCUGUGAAAUGCGUAGAUAUAGGAAGGAACACCAGUGGCGAAGGCGACUACCUGGACUGAUACUGACACUGAGGUGCGAAAGCGUGGGGAGCAAACAGGAUUAGAAACCCUGGUAGUCC